GCUGGGCAUGGUGGUGCAUGCCUGUAGUCCCAGCUACUUGGGAGGCUGAGGCAGGGGCAUCCCUUGAACUCAGGAAGUUGAGACUGCAGUGAGCUGUGAUUGCACCACUGCACUCCAGCCUGGGUGACAAAGACCCUGCCUCAA
This 144-nucleotide non-coding RNA is filed under the name Pan troglodytes (chimpanzee). Lineage: Eukaryota; Metazoa; Chordata; Mammalia; Primates; Hominidae. The record is from Rfam by way of RNAcentral.